AGAGUCAGGCCUGCCCAGUGAUCACUUUAACGGCCGCGGUACCCUGACCGUGCAAAGGUAGCAUAAUCAUUUGCCUUUUAAUUGGAGGCUAGUAUGAAUGGUCUGACGAGAGUAAAACUGUCUCAUAUAUAUUCAAUAGAAAUUAACCCAAAGGUGCAAAGGCCUUUAUUUACCAAAAAGACGAGAAGACCCUGUUGAGCUUUAAUCUUAAUGAGCACUCUUUCUAUAUUCAUAAAUUUAUUUUGCUCACUAAAGAUUUUAAUUGGGGCGAUUAAGGAACAACCAUUAGCUUCCUGAACUCAUCCAAAAAAUAUACAUGAAUUAAAUCGAUCCAGCAAUGCUGAUCAACAAAACGAGUUACCACAGGGAUAACAGCAUAAUUCUUCUUGAGAGCCCAUAUCGAAAGGAGAGAUUGUGACCUCGAUGUUGGACUAGGGUAACUAGAAGGUGCAGCCGCUUUCUUGUUUGGUC
Molecule: ribosomal RNA, 471 nt
Filed under: Nerita balteata
Lineage: Eukaryota; Metazoa; Mollusca; Gastropoda; Cycloneritida; Neritidae
Description: partial large subunit ribosomal RNA
Rfam family: Bacterial large subunit ribosomal RNA
Source: RNAcentral